CCUACGGGUGGCAGCAGUGAGGAAUAUUGGUCAAUGGGCGCAAGCCUGACGCAGCAACGCCGCGUGAAGGAAGAAGGCUUUCGGGUUGUAAACUUCUUUUCUCAGGGACGAAGCUAGUGACGGUACCUGAGGAAUAAGCCACUGCUAACUACGUGCCAGCAGCCGCGGUAAUACGUAGGUGGCAAGCGUUAUCCGGAUUUACUGGGUGUAAAGGGCGUGUAGGCGGGACUGCAAGUCAGAUGUGAAAACCACGGGCUCAACCUGUGGACUGCAUUUGAAACUGUAGUUCUUGAGUACUGGAGAGGCAGACGGAAUUCCUAGUGUAGCGGUGAAAUGCGUAGAUAUUAGGAGGAACACCAGUGGCGAAGGCGGUCUGCUGGACAGCAACUGACGCUGAGGCGCGAAAGCGUGGGGAGCAAACAGGAUUAGAUACCCGGGUAGUC
This 443-nucleotide ribosomal RNA is filed under the name uncultured bacterium. Its description in RNAcentral is "partial 16S ribosomal RNA". It matches the Rfam family "Bacterial small subunit ribosomal RNA", at positions 338 to 795 of the family's 1533-position model. The record is from RNAcentral.